GAUGAACGCUAGCGGCAGGCCUAAUACAUGCAAGUCGAACGGGUUUGAGUAGCAAUACUCAAAUCAGUGGCGCACGGGUGCGUAACGCGUAUGCAACCUACCUUAAACUGGGGGAUAGCCUUCCGAAAGGGAGAUUAAUACCGCAUAAUACUAUUUGAUGGCAUCUGAAGAUAGUUAAAGAUUUAUUGGUUUAAGAUGGGCAUGCGUGCCAUUAGCUAGUUGGUAGGGUAACGGCCUACCAAGGCAACGAUGGCUAGGGGUUCUGAGAGGAUGAUCCCCCACACUGGUACUGAGAUACGGACCAGACUCCUACGGGAGGCAGCAGUAGGGAAUAUUGGGCAAUGGACGGAAGUCUGACCCAGCCAUGCCGCGUGCAGGAUGAAGGCCUUCUGGGUUGUAAACUGCUUUUAUCUAGGAAGAAAA
This 423-nucleotide ribosomal RNA is filed under the name uncultured bacterium. RNAcentral describes it as "bacterial SSU rRNA". It matches the Rfam family "Bacterial small subunit ribosomal RNA", at positions 28 to 451 of the family's 1533-position model. The record is from RNAcentral.